RNAcentral lists this ribosomal RNA (362 nucleotides) under Camponotus sp. MG053. RNAcentral's name for it is "partial 12S ribosomal RNA". Lineage: Eukaryota; Metazoa; Arthropoda; Insecta; Hymenoptera; Formicidae. The record is from RNAcentral.
UUUAAACUAGGAAUAGAUACCCUAUUAUUUUUAUUAAAAAUUAUUUGAUUUAAAUAUUAAAUGUUAAGCAUUAAAGAUAAAAAAUUUGGCGGUACUUGAUAUUUAGAGGAACUUGUUUAUUAAAUUGAUAAUCCACGAAUGGAGGAACUUAUUUAAAAAAAUUUUUUUAUGUAUUGUUGUUGAAAAAUUAUAUUAAUAGGUAUUAAUUAAGAAAUUUAAUUAAAUUAUAAUUCAAAUCAAAAUGUAGAAUAUUUAAGAGGUUAAUGAGUUACAAUUAAUUAAAAUACUGGACUUUAAGAAAGAUAAUUUAAUUUAUAAAUGAAAGUGGAUUUAAAAGUAAAUUUAUAAAAAUUAUAAAUGAA